GACGAACGCUGGCGGCGUGCCUAAUACAUGCAAGUUGAGCGAUGAAGAUUGGUGCUUGCACCAAUUUGAAGAGCAGCGAACGGGUGAGUAACGCGUGGGGAAUCUGCCUUUGAGCGGGGGACAACAUUUGGAAACGAAUGCUAAUACCGCAUAACAACUUUAAACAUAAGUUUUAAGUUUGAAAGAUGCAAUUGCAUCACUCAAAGAUGAUCCCGCGUUGUAUUAGCUAGUUGGUGAGGUAAAGGCUCACCAAGGCGAUGAUACAUAGCCGACCUGAGAGGGUGAUCGGCCACAUUGGGACUGAGACACGGCCCAAACUCCUACGGGAGGCAGCAGUAGGGAAUCUUCGGCAAUGGACGAAAGUCUGACCGUGCAACGCCGCGUGAGUGAAGAAGGUUUUCGGAUCGUAAAACUCUGUUGGUAGAGAAGAACGUUGGUGAGAGUGGAAAGCUCAUCAAGUGACGGUAACUACCCAGAAAGGGACGGCUAACUACGU
This 496-nucleotide ribosomal RNA is filed under the name uncultured bacterium. RNAcentral's name for it is "partial 16S ribosomal RNA". It matches the Rfam family "Bacterial small subunit ribosomal RNA", at positions 28 to 506 of the family's 1533-position model. The record is from RNAcentral.